GGAAGGAUCAUUAUUGAAUGAACUUGGUGUGGUUGUUGCUGGCCCUCUCGGGGGCAUGUGCACACCCGCCAUCCUCAUCUCUCCACCUGUGCACCUCUUGUAGACCUG
RNAcentral lists this unclassified non-coding RNA (108 nucleotides) under uncultured fungus. RNAcentral describes it as "sequence contains ITS1, 5.8S rRNA gene, ITS2 and 28S rRNA gene". The record is from RNAcentral. Lineage: Eukaryota; Fungi.